CAGUCGCCGCGGUAAUACGAAGGGGGCUAGCGUUACUCGGAAUUACUGGGCGUAAAGGGCGCGUAGGCGGCACGAUUAGUCAGGCGUGAAAUUCCUGGGCUCAACCUGGGGACUGCGCUUGAUACGGUCGAGCUAGAGGAUGGAAGAGGGUUGUGGAAUUCCCAGUGUAGAGGUGAAAUUCGUAGAUAUUGGGAAGAACACCGGUGGCGAAGGCGGCAACCUGGUCCAUUACUGACGCUGAGGCGCGACAGCGUGGGGAGCAAACAGGAUUAGAGACCCCAGUAGUCCCUGUCUCUUAUAC
This 301-nucleotide ribosomal RNA is filed under the name uncultured bacterium. RNAcentral describes it as "partial 16S ribosomal RNA". It matches the Rfam family "Bacterial small subunit ribosomal RNA", at positions 509 to 807 of the family's 1533-position model. The record is from RNAcentral.